GACGAACGCUGGCGGCGUGCCUAAUACAUGCAAGUUGAGCGAUGAAGAUUGGUGCUUGCACCAAUUUGAAGAGCAGCGAACGGGUGAGUAACGCGUGGGGAAUCUGCCUUUGAGCGGGGGACAACAUUUGGAAACGAAUGCUAAUACCGCAUAACAACUUUAAACAUAAGUUUUAAGUUUGAAAGAUGCAAUUGCAUCACUCAAAGAUGAUCCCGCGUUGUAUUAGCUAGUUGGUGAGGUAAGGGCUCACCAAGGCGAUGAUACAUAGCCGACCUGAGAGGGUGAUCGGCCACAUUGGGACUGAGACACGGCCCAAACUCCUACGGGAGGCAGCAGUAGGGAAUCUUCGGCAAUGGACGAAAGUCUGACCGAGCAACGCCGCGUGAGUGAAGAAGGUUUUCGGAUCGUAAAACUCUGUUGGUAGAGAAGAACGUUGGUGAGAGUGGAAAGCUCAUCAAGUGACGGUAACUACCCAGAAAGGGACGGCUAACUACGUG
RNAcentral lists this ribosomal RNA (497 nucleotides) under uncultured bacterium. RNAcentral's name for it is "partial 16S ribosomal RNA". It matches the Rfam family "Bacterial small subunit ribosomal RNA", at positions 28 to 507 of the family's 1533-position model. The record is from RNAcentral.